This 430-nucleotide ribosomal RNA is filed under the name uncultured archaeon. RNAcentral's name for it is "bacterial SSU rRNA". It matches the Rfam family "Archaeal small subunit ribosomal RNA", at positions 474 to 903 of the family's 1478-position model. The record is from RNAcentral.
UACCUGCAGCUCGAGUGGUAACCGCUAUUAUUGGGCCUAAAGCGUCCGUAGCCGGUUUGGUAAAUAUCUGGGUAAAUCGUGAGGCUUAACUUCACGAAUUUCGGAUAGACUGCCAGACUUGGGAUCGGGGGAGGUCAGAGGUACUCCAGGGGUAGCGGUGAAAUGUUGUAAUCCUUGGAGGACCACCGGUAGCGAAGGCGUCUGACUAGAACGAGUCCGACGGUGAGGGACGAAGCCCUGGGGCGCAAACCGGAUUAGAUACCCGGGUAGUCCAGGGUGUAAACAAUGUGGGCUUUGUAUUGGAGAUCCCACGUGGGCGUCCAGUGCAGGAGAGAAGUUGUUAAGCCCACCGCCUGGGGAGUACGGUCGCAAGGCUGAAACUUAAAGGAAUUGGCGGGGGGAGCACAGCAACGGGAGGAGCGUGCGGUUU